GAUGAACGCUGGCGGCGUGCCUAAUACAUGCAAGUCGAGCGAACGGACGAGAAGCUUGCUUCUCUGAUGUUAGCGGCGGACGGGUGAGUAACACGUGGAUAACCUACCUAUAAGACUGGGAUAACUUCGGGAAACCGGAGCUAAUACCGGAUAAUAUUUUGAACCGCAUGGUUCAAAAGUGAAAGACGGUCUUGCUGUCACUUAUAGAUGGAUCCGCGCUGCAUUAGCUAGUUGGUAAGGUAACGGCUUACCAAGGCAACGAUGCAUAGCCGACCUGAGAGGGUGAUCGGCCACACUGGAACUGAGACACGGUCCAGACUCCUACGGGAGGCAGCAGUAGGGAAUCUUCCGCAAUGGGCGAAAGCCUGACGGAGCAACGCCGCGUGAGUGAUGAAGGUCUUCGGAUCGUAAAACUCUGUUAUUAGGGAAGAACAUAUGUGUAAGUAACUGUGCACAUCUUGACGGUACCUAAUCAGAAAGCCACGGCUAACUACGUGCCAGCAGCCGCGGUAAUACGUAGGUGGCAAGCGUUAUCCGGAAUUAUUGGGCGUAAAGCGCGCGUAGGCGGUUUUUUAAGUCUGAUGUGAAAGCCCACGGCUCANCCGUGGAGGGUCAUUGGAAACUGGAAAACUUGAGUGCAGAAGAGGAAAGUGGAAUUCCAUGUGUAGCGGUGAAAUGCGCAGAGAUAUGGAGGAACACCAGUGGCGAAGGCGACUUUCUGGUCUGUAACUGACGCUGAUGUGCGAAAGCGUGGGGAUCAAACAGGAUUAGAUACCCUGGUAGUCCACGCCGUAAACGAUGAGUGCUAAGUGUUAGGGGGUUUCCGCCCCUUAGUGCUGCAGCUAGCGCAUUAAGCACUCCGCCUGGGGAGUACGACCGCAAGGUUGAAACUCAAAGGAAUUGACGGGGACCCGCACAAGCGGUGGAGCAUGUGGUUUAAUUCGAAGCAACGCGAAGAACCUUACCAAAUCUUGACAUCCUUUGACAACUCUAGAGAUAGAGCCUUCCCCUUCGGGGGACAAAGUGACAGGUGGUGCAUGGUUGUCGUCAGCUCGUGUCGUGAGAUGUUGGGUUAAGUCCCGCAACGAGCGCAACCCUUAAGCUUAGUUGCCAUCAUUAAGUUGGGCACUCUAAGUUGACUGCCGGUGACAAACCGGAGGAAGGUGGGGAUGACGUCAAAUCAUCAUGCCCCUUAUGAUUUGGGCUACACACGUGCUACAAUGGACAAUACAAAGGGCAGCGAAACCGCGAGGUCAAGCAAAUCCCAUAAAGUUGUUCUCAGUUCGGAUUGUAGUCUGCAACUCGACUACAUGAAGCUGGAAUCGCUAGUAAUCGUAGAUCAGCAUGCUACGGUGAAUACGUUCCCGGGUCU
Molecule: ribosomal RNA, 1372 nt
Filed under: uncultured bacterium
Lineage: Bacteria
Description: bacterial SSU rRNA
Rfam family: Bacterial small subunit ribosomal RNA
Source: RNAcentral